GUGAAAUUUGGUCGCAGUUCUGUUUCUGCCGUUUCCGCUGUUUCUUUUCAGAAAUGCUUUUAGCGGUAUGUAGAAGAAGCCAUUGUCCGGCGAUAAUUUAAUAAAAAGCUAGAAAACAUCGAACCAUGCAAACAAAGCUUCCAAAGAAAUGUCCACACUGUAUAGGCUCUGGUGGAAUGCUAUCCCGGACAUCGUAUCCAGAUCCGGAUCCCGGACACGCUCUAAGAAAACAUCGAUCCAUCGAAUUCCAAGGAAAUGUCCACACGGUACGGUAUCCAGAUCCGGAUCCCAGGCACGCUCAGAGGUGGUGGCUUCACUUGGAUUACUUUUCAUCAAUUUUCGGUGUUAUACUUCAAAAGGAAAGCAAGUUUGGAAAACUCGAACAACCUUCAAGCCAUCUCUUCACAACAUUGUACCCCGAAGAUGGAUUUCGCAUGAUGUGGUUGUCAUCCCAAGGAUUUAAUCAACACCUGAAAAUGGACGAAUUGCUUAACAAGAAGAAGCUUGCGCCAGACAUCGCAAUGUCUUGUAGCAGAAGAGGUAACAAAAAAUAAAUUAGAAGAAAAAAACGGAAAAAUAAAAAACAUAUGAAAUAAAAGUCUCUAGCUUUUUGUAAACAAACCGAAAAACCUAAAUGAAUGGCAACCAUGCUAAUCGGUCCA
Molecule: long non-coding RNA, 662 nt
Organism: Uranotaenia lowii
Lineage: Eukaryota; Metazoa; Arthropoda; Insecta; Diptera; Culicidae
Exons: 4
Source: RefSeq, a predicted model, not a curated record